This 253-nucleotide ribosomal RNA is filed under the name uncultured bacterium. RNAcentral's name for it is "partial 16S ribosomal RNA". It matches the Rfam family "Bacterial small subunit ribosomal RNA", at positions 524 to 776 of the family's 1533-position model. The record is from RNAcentral.
UACGUAGGCAGCAAGCGUUGUUCGGAGUUACUGGGCGUAAAGGGUGCGUAGGCGGCUUUUUAAGUUUGGUGUGAAAUCUCCCGGCUCAACUGGGAGGGUGCGCCGAAUACUGAGAGGCUAGAGUGCGGGAGAGGAAAGUGGAAUUCCUGGUGUAGCGGUGAAAUGCGUAGAUAUCAGGAGGAACACCGGUGGUGUAAACGGCUUUCUGGACCAUAGCUGACGCUGAGACACGAAAGCGUGGGUAGCAAACAGG